GACGAACGCUGGCGGCGUGCUUAACACAUGCAAGUCGAACGGAAAGGCCCUGCUUUUGUGGGGUGCUCGAGUGGCGAACGGGUGAGUAACACGUGAGUAACCUGCCCUUGACUUUGGGAUAACUUCAGGAAACUGGGGCUAAUACCGGAUAGGAGCUCCUGCUGCAUGGUGGGGGUUGGAAAGUUUCGGCGGUUGGUGAUGGACUCGCGGCUUAUCAGCUUGUUGGUGGGGUAGUGGCUUACCAAGGCUUUGACGGGUAGCCGGCCUGAGAGGGUGACCGGCCACAUUGGGACUGAGAUACGGCCCAGACUCCUACGGGAGGCAGCAGUGGGGAAUAGUGCACAAUGGGCGGAAGCCUGAUGCAGCAACGCCGCGUGCGGGAUGACGGCCUUCGGGUUGUAAACCGCUUUCGCCUGUGACGAAGCGUGAGUGACGGUAAUGGGUAAAGAAGCACCGGCUAACUACGUG
Molecule: ribosomal RNA, 468 nt
Filed under: uncultured bacterium
Lineage: Bacteria
Description: partial 16S ribosomal RNA
Rfam family: Bacterial small subunit ribosomal RNA
Source: RNAcentral